CAUCGCCUAUCGCUCCUACCGAUUGAAUGGUCUACUGAAGUGUUCAGAUCAAGGUGGUGGCCCGUGACGUCAUGAGAAGUCCACUAAACCUUAUCAUUUAGAGGAAGGAGAAGUAGUAACAAGGUUUCUAUAGGUGAACCUGCUGAAG
This 148-nucleotide non-coding RNA is filed under the name Musa acuminata subsp. malaccensis (wild Malaysian banana). RNAcentral describes it as "Eukaryotic small subunit ribosomal RNA". It matches the Rfam family "Eukaryotic small subunit ribosomal RNA", at positions 1667 to 1823 of the family's 1831-position model. The record is from Rfam by way of RNAcentral. Lineage: Eukaryota; Viridiplantae; Streptophyta; Magnoliopsida; Zingiberales; Musaceae.